GUUGGUGGAGGGAGGGGUUGGGGGUGGGCUUGGAGGGUAUACCGUGGGAAAUCGCUUAUAAAAUAAAAUCAAACACUUGGGAUAGGCAUUUAAAUUCCUCCAAACCAACUUAAGAUGGGAAAUGAGAAGGGGGAUGAGUGGGGUUAGGAGGAGGUGAGUCACGCGGGGGCCCUGGGCAGAUGGCCCCCAAAUGUGCUGAUUCUUUCCUACUCCUCAGGUCUCCCCAAAACCAUCACUUCCUCCAGGAGACCCUUCCUAACUUUGCCAUCAAGUGGUCCCGAGAUAGAACAGAGGCUGUGUUUAGACCCCCACCCCCGCCCUAACCACAAAACCCACGGCUCCCUGCGUGUCACCUUAGAAGAAAAGGCUGAGCAAUCGUGGUUUUUUCUUUUUUUGAGCAGUAUAUCUCAUAGGAAAGCGGAAGCGGGAUCUUUGCCAGAAAGAACUCGGCCGAAGAAACCGGACUAAACCAGCCUGUGCCGCGGGGGACCCCAGCCCUGACCCCUCACCCACUCUCGCGACAGUCCCGACGCUCGCGGCCGUGGGUGGAGACUUGACAUGCAAAUGAGACACGCGGGGCAGGUAGGAGCCUGUGCCACCCACUGCGCCUGCGCGCAGCUGCCCGGCUCGGCGCCCGUGCGAGCGGGGCGCCCCUUCUUUCCAGCCUCAGGCCCUCUGCGAAGCGCCGUGGUUCCGGAAGCCGGCCGGGGCUUCUGCUCCCAGAGUCAGCCCCCAAUAAACGCUGCGUGCAUCUUUCUUGGCCUCAUGUCAGUUUCUGUUUGCGCUGAGAGCCAAAGAGCCCUGGGGUCGGGAACGUAUUCCGGCCACCACGCAGGGACCCCAAGAGGGAGCCCCGGUGAGUCCCCGAGGACCCGGAGACGGCGGACGGCGGAUGGAGCCCCUCCGACCCUUGGGACUGAUGAGCGGCCUGGCGCUUUAGUUCGGCGUCUCGGCGGCGACUGGUUUAGCAAAAGAAAUGAGCCCGAGACCCUGAGCCAGAGCCACCCCUCAGGGGCAUGUCCACAAUUCACUGGAAGCUCGCAGCUGCCUCCUCCUCACCUGCGGCUUCUGAAGAAGGAUCGAGGGAAAGCCCCUGCCGACCAGCAGCCAGUGGGAAACUCUGAUCCUGCUCCAGGCCUCCGAAUCAGAAUCUGUUGUUUAGAAAACCCUCCAGGGAAGCAUAGGCUCGGGUAA
This 1194-nucleotide long non-coding RNA is filed under the name Zalophus californianus (California sea lion). RNAcentral describes it as "lncRNA (ENSZCAG00015014356.1)". Lineage: Eukaryota; Metazoa; Chordata; Mammalia; Carnivora; Otariidae. The record is from RNAcentral.